Capra hircus (goat) is the source of this 1757-nucleotide long non-coding RNA. RefSeq lists it as uncharacterized. The transcript has 4 exons. NCBI's taxonomy places the organism in Eukaryota, Metazoa, Chordata, Mammalia, Artiodactyla, Bovidae. The record is from RefSeq and is a predicted model, not a curated record.
AGGGGAGCGUCCCUCCCGCUGCGGGUCCGGGGCAGGGUGCGCGGCUGGGGGUGAGGGCAGGCAGAGGCGGGAGCCUUCAGAGGCGCCUCCACACCUGAUCUCCUGCCCUUGUUUCCUCCCUGUCCCCUGUCAGCCAUUUUUCCCAUUUUGUGUUUUACAACUUUCCUUUCUUCCUGACAGAUUUCUCUACUAAAUUUGACUUCGUUUCAACACUUUUGUUGGGCAAAUUACAUUAAGAUGGAUGUUGCAGAGCUUGGAUUUAAAUCACAAUAACACCGGGGGAAGAUGAAUGGCAGUGCUAUUGAAUGUGGCUAAAAUUGGAUACUUCAGCACAGGACGAGCCCCAGGAGAGGCCUGGAUACUGACCACUGGUUCCGACAGUCUUCAAAGACAAUGGUGUUCAUGAGGACGGACGUCAUCUAGAAGACAGGGUCACAGGAUGACACUGGCGCCCAGCUCGAGGUCGCCCCAACCCCAGGCCUGCUAUGUGCCCCCCUGCUGCCCACCACAUCCGGCCACCAGCCAUGAGGGCACUUGCUGGACAGACAGCUUCGACUCUGGAAGCCUAUACUGCUGCCUAUGGGAACACUUGGCAACUCUCAGCUCCCUGAGGAAGAGCUGCCCCUACUGAAACGUGUGGCCACGGGGCAUGAGGGAUUUAGCUCCCCGACCAGGGAUUGAACCUACACCCUCUGUAUUGGAAGCUGAAGUCUUAACCACUGAACCAGCAAGAAAGUCCUACUCCUGUAUGUCAUACUCAUCCAUUUUCUUAAAUUCCAAGUCUGCAAGAUGCCUGGGAGGAGGUAAGAGAACACAGACAUCUACUACAACCUUUGUCCUUGAGGAGCUAAAAGCUUCCUGGGACAGGCUACUUAGCAGAGGUAACAGGAACCAGGGCUGGGCAAAGAUGCUGUGGGUAAGCGGCGGGAAGACGGAUACUUCUGGGUCCUUGAGAAUCAGGGAAGACACCACAGAGAAGGCCACAGUUAUGGAGUUCAUCAUAAAUGGGUUCUAAGCAGAGACAGCAGCAAAAAGGGAGACUGGGCAAGAACACAGAGGGUUUUGCAAUGGUAAGGAAUGCAGUGUGUAGAGAGAAGAGAGGUGGGCCAGAAGCAAGACCCCAGCGUGGGGUGGGAGACCUCGAUGGAGAAUCUGGCCACUCGCACCUAGAGAGACAUGCUCAGCUCUGUGCUUAGGAAAGCUCCCUCUGGGACACGUGGACUGUGCAGUGGACAGUACAGGAGGGAGGCCAGAGACGAGGCUGCUGCAACAGUCCCGGCAGAGAGUGACGAAGGAAGCUGUGGUCGCCCACGUGAAGCGGAUGCUACGGGUCCUGCUGUUUGGACACUACACCCCUCGUCUGCAGUCCUUCCUGUUUCCCUGCUUCAGAGCUCCUUUCCCUGAAGGAAGGCGGGGGAAACAGCAAUUAUGUGGCAGAGUCUACUACACACACCGCCCCUGACUAGGCUGUGGUGACAUCUGGCUUUGUCCUCUGGUCUUUUUGCAACCCAGUUUACCCUGUGAUCUCGGGCAAGGCACGGAACCUCUCUCUCUGUGUCUUAGUUUCAUUGCCCAUAAAGAGGGAAAUGAUAAUCCAGUAUAAGGAAGCUCAGGGACUCAAAUGAGAAUCAAAUGAGACAGUAGAUAUGAAAAGUGCAAAGAGUGAAAAGUGUUAUAAACAUUUAAGGUGUGUGUGUGUGUGUGUGUCUGUGUGUGUGUUUAUUCGCUCAGUCAUGUCUGACUCUUUGUGACUCCAU